This is a long non-coding RNA of Calidris pugnax (ruff), 3732 nucleotides long. RefSeq lists it as uncharacterized. Lineage: Eukaryota; Metazoa; Chordata; Aves; Charadriiformes; Scolopacidae. The record is from RefSeq and is a predicted model, not a curated record. The transcript has 2 exons.
CUUGGCUCAGUGUCUGGGGUGGGAAGAGGGGGCACCUCGUGUUUGCAGGGAAGGGACACGCAGCCACAGGAGGUCAGAGGGAGGCACUGACCUGGCAGAGCAAACAGCCUGUUUGUCCUCUCCCAGCAGUGAGGUGACUGUCCCAUCGGUGGGACUGUCCCAUCCACCUCCAGGGACAUCUCUGAGAGCUCAGGGGGAUGAUCCCUGCAGGGUUGAGGGAAGAAGGGAGAUGGAAGAUGAGCUCACGGCCACCGAGAAGCCACCCUGGCAGAGCCCUGCCUCCCCCACCUCUGCCCAGUUUGACUCCAGAGCACCACAGGGCUAUAAAAAACCCACAUUUGUCCUCAAGGACAAAACGCACCCACGACUACAAAAUUCAUGUGCAUCCUCUACAGCGUUUCCCUCCUCUCCUGCAGAGUCGGUAACAUUUGCAGAGAAGCUGUUUAUAACAAACUUUUUGCUAAAGUAUGCGAAACAUUAAGGCUGUCCACACUAUUUAUAGGACUCGGCCCCCAGAUGCCUUCCUGCUUUUCCUACAGACUAAUAAAAACAAUGGAGUAAAUAAAUAAAAAAGGACGCAAAGUUCGGUUAAACUCAAAACCAGCUCGAGGGAAGAGAGAGCCGAAGACGGGAUGGUCCUGGGAAGACAUCCAGCCUAGCAGACAUCCCUGCUGUGCUGCUGCUCACAAACUCUCUGAUUUCAAGGAGACACGCAUCGUGUCACUGCCAGAUGCACCACGGAGCUGGUCGGCACCACCACGCGCUUCUCCCACGGUGGCAAGUGACGCUGCGCUGGAGCUUCUGUCGGGGGGGAAAAAAAGUCAUAUUUGAGAGAACCCUGCACAGUCCCACCCCACAGCUGGGCUGAUUGAGGGCAGGGAGGAGGCUUCCGAAGAACUGACCCCCCCCCUCCCAUUCAGAGGGAGGCUUUUUGGUGUUUCUUCUUUGAACAAAGGGAUAUCGGUCAAUUUAUUUUUAAUUUUUUUUUUAAAUUUAUUUACUUUUCUCAAAGCUAUUGAAAGGGUUGCCUGGAAAGCUCCAGCAGAAAGCUCAGCCCUCUGAGCUCCACAACGUGCCGUUCACUGGGAUUAAAAGUCAACUAAUGCUUCAGAGCACCAGGAUUUCAACAGCACGGAGCCUCCCGACGGCAAAUUCAGCAGGAUCUCAAAGGAGCAGCAGCAGCAGCAGCUGCCUCUCCCCGCAGAUGCCGUUUCACCCCGGAUUUGUGUGCAUCCCACUCCCGAAAAGCAGCUGGAAACCCACGGUGCCUUCCCUGCACGGAGAGUGAGCCCCCUCUGCCCUCUCCCCAGGCAGGUGGAACGGGGCUCCCAGCAGAUUCCCCGCAGCUCCCAGUCCAUCCCAGCUGACCAGCAGAUGAUCCAGCGCGUUUCCCCACAAGACUUGUGCUGGGGGAAACCAGGGCCAGGACACGAGGUACCUCUAAUCAUUUUUUUGAUUAAUAUUUGCGGGUGAAUGCUGUAAAUACGAGCCGAGAAGAUUUCAAAGAAAGUCACCGAGCCGCGUUAAGUGAAUUAAUUUGCUUUUAGACAAGAUGCGGCUGGUUUUCAGCCUUUUACCAGCAGGAACAUUGUUCCUUUCCUAUGCCAAAGACUGACUGCACUUGCUCGCCUGCUUCGCUUCAAGGGUGGAGGAAAUUUAAGCAAGAACAUGUAUAGUGAAUUGCUAAAUUCAACCAGUGCCACCGAAGCCCACCUCAUCAUUCAGACCAACACGCCCUACCUGAGCGGCACCCCGCGACCCGUCAGCUCCUCUGCUUUUUACGUGUCCACAGCCAGGGUGUUAAAAGAAGGGGAAAUAAACAAGCCAGACCUGGUGACUUACAUCAUUCUGUUUUUCUUUCUGCUCUUGACUGUGACACUCAUCGUGCUCUUCAUAAACUGCCAGCUGAAAAAUUCUUUUUUUGCUACUCUUCCUUACGACAGAUCGCUCCGAGAGGCGAGGAGCCCGUGGAGGACACAAGCUGUCUGACACCAGAGAGAAACUAUGUCUUGCAGCAGGAGCAGGCACCAGAAGCCCUGGGCAAUAAGGCGUUAUUGCCAUGUGGCAGUGAAUGGAUGGGACCCUCUUUAAACAGGCUGCAUCGCAGGAAAAGGUUGCUGAAAAAAACAUGCUGUAUGCAAAUCGGCGUCGCUGUAAAUAAAAAGCUCUGUGAUGAACUAAAGAGAGAAUGCUUUAGCAAAUUGAUAGGGUUUUGUGCAAAAAAAUUGCCCCCCUGAUUCCAGAUUAAGCUCUAUAUAUAUGCAAAUGUCAUCAUCCACCCAUUCAGUGUCCAUACAAGGAUAUUUGUGUUACCAACAAUCUCUGGUUUGGGCAUGUGGUGGAGCUUGUUACCCGUGUUUAUGAAACCAUAGCAUCAAAUGUAAAAAAAAACCCACAGUAUAUUUACCUAAGGGCUCCGAGCUGCGGGUACGAGUUUACUUUCCAGACCCAUUUCUCUCAAGGGCUGCCGAAGCUGCGGGGUAAUGCAGCCGGAGUCCUGCCAGGCAGGAGGAGAAAACAAAAAAAGGUUUAUUUAGACUUUGGAUUGUGAUUCUGUUAAGGGUGGGCGUGAGGUUUUACUGCAUCAUCGAACAGGUUCUGAGUUACCAUUUCUGUGAAACACUAAAUACCUAAGGAAUUUGUUUUCAACUUUCUUAAGCUACAACGGACAUUUUUCGCCACGGCACGAAACUAAAAUAAUCAAGAAGGGGAGAAGGAAGGAGAGAAAAUAAACAUCAUUAAUAUGUAUGUAAACUAAUGAAAGGGGAGAGCAGAGUGCUCUGAGUUCAGUACACAAAGUAGACAACUUUUGAAAGCCAUAAAACAGUUUUAUAGGAGCAGUUGCUUUAAUGCACAAUAUCCCCACUCCGUGCUCUUUAUAUAAAAUCUGGAACAGUUAGGAGCCUGCUUUAUCAAUAUGGCAACACUUUGAUUCAACAUUGAUCCCCGGCAAUAAACACUGGUUCAAAUUAUUGGCUAGCUGAUUUUGUUCUAAAAGCUCCUGCUUAACUUUGUUAGCUGACAUGCUAUUUUAUAGAUGGUUAUUUUUAAUAAAGUGGCGGUUACAGCACAAUUCCAAAUCAAACUGCACAAACCCCAGACCCGUAUUUCUGUAUCCCACAAACAGUGGGUUUUUGUUUGUUUGUUUGUUGGGGUUUUUUAGCCCCAGUAACUCAACAUAGAACCGAAUUGCAGCUAUCCAGGAGGACAGACUCCUAAAUCCUAUUUUUGCUCCGUUUUUUGCCAAUUGGAUCAUUUAUCAGAAGAACAGCGUCCAAGUGGUGUCAGAUGCUGCACCCCUAAAUCCCUUCUUAACAUGCAGACCACAGCAGCAGUGCUGUGCAUGUAUAUGUGUAUAUAACUUAUUUAAUCCAAAUGAAAAGAUUUUACAAUGCAAUUACAGAUGUACAGGCUCGCACUCAAACACCCAGACAGAACGUGCACACACGGGAGCCUGUUUGCAAGCUUCUUCUUUUUCUUUUUUACACAGAAAUUGCACAGUCAAUAACACUUCCAUGUCAUUGUCUUGGUUACCAUGUUUUAUUACACUCAAGUAAGUUAAACUACUAUAUAAGAGGCUUAAAUAUUUUAUUCCUCAAUAGGUGGCCAAUUUUUAUCUCCUCUGAACCAAAUUUAACUGGUGUAAUUCCAAGUAAUUACUCUAAUGUAGAAAGCGAGAAUAAAUUCAAGUGUGUUUAUCAGCCCUUUUCGAAUAAAUCGAGUUUUAUCAAA